RNAcentral lists this ribosomal RNA (237 nucleotides) under uncultured bacterium. Its description in RNAcentral is "partial small subunit ribosomal RNA". It matches the Rfam family "Bacterial small subunit ribosomal RNA", at positions 26 to 288 of the family's 1533-position model. The record is from RNAcentral.
AGGAUUAACGCUGGCGGCGUGCCUAACACAUGCAAGUCGAACGAGGUAGCAAUACCUAGUGGCAGACGGGUGAGUAACGCGUGGUCAACCUACCCUUGAGUGGGGGAUAACCUAGGGAAACCUGGGCUAAUACCGCAUAAUACCUUCGGGUCAAAGGAGCAAUUCGCUUAAGGAGGGGGUCGCGGCCGAUUAGUUAGUUGGCGGGGUAAUGGCCCACCAAGACUAUGAUCGGUAUCC